GAUGAACCCGCGGCCUAUCAGCUUGUUGGUGGGGUAAUGGCCUACCAAGGCGACGACGGGUAGCCGGCCUGAGAGGGUGACCGGCCACACUGGGACUGAGACACGGCCCAGACUCCUACGGGAGGCAGCAGUGGGGAAUAUUGCACAAUGGGCGAAAGCCUGAUGCAGCGACGCCGCGUGAGGGAUGACGGCCUUCGGGUUGUAAACCUCUUUCGCCAGGGACGAAGCGCAAGUGACGGUACCUGGAUAAGAAGCACCGGCUAACUACGUGCCAGCAGCCGCGGUAAUACGUAGGGUGCGAGCGUUGUCCGGAUUUAUUGGGCGUAAAGAACUCGUAGGCGGUUUGUCGCGUCGGCCGUGAAAUCUCCACGCUUAACGUGGAGCGUGCGGUCGAUACGGGCAGACUUGAGUUCGGUAGGGGAGACUGGAAUUCCUGGUGUAGCGGUGAAAUGCGCAGAUAUCAGGAGGAACACCGGUGGCGAAGGCGGGUCUCUGGGCCGAUACUGACGCUGAGGAGCGAAAGCGUGGGGAGCGAACAGGAUUAGAUACCCUGGUAGUCCACGCUGUAAACGUUGGGCGCUAGGUGU
RNAcentral lists this ribosomal RNA (587 nucleotides) under uncultured Actinomycetes bacterium. RNAcentral's name for it is "bacterial SSU rRNA". It matches the Rfam family "Bacterial small subunit ribosomal RNA", at positions 224 to 823 of the family's 1533-position model. Lineage: Bacteria; Bacillati; Actinomycetota; Actinomycetes. The record is from RNAcentral.